This 8566-nucleotide long non-coding RNA is filed under the name Citrus maxima (pomelo). RNAcentral describes it as "long non-coding RNA (CMAX_LNC000157)". The record is from RNAcentral. Lineage: Eukaryota; Viridiplantae; Streptophyta; Magnoliopsida; Sapindales; Rutaceae.
GCUGUAACUCUUUCUAGCCUAUAUAAUUUAUACAAGACUAUUACAAGCUUCUCACUUGGGAUCUUUCGACCGAAAGGAAAAGAAUGAAAAAUAAAUGUUUCUUCUAGUUCAUUCUUGCAUUCCUCACUUAUAAUUAAUGUAAAACUAAGUUGAAUUAUUGUUGUGCAGCCAGUUGGUUCUUCAACUCUUUCUUGUUCACCUGAAAGUGGCCAAAAAGAAAAAGUCAAUCAAAGUAAUGAUUUAGUAACCUUUACAUUCUCCCUUUAAAUAUGUUUCCCAUUUUAGUAAAAAAGGACAUGAAAUGAAGUUUACGUGAGAAAAGAAAUGAGAUAUGCUUGCAGUUUACCUUUCCCAUGGCAUUUCGAGGCAGAGAGUCCCACAAGAACAGACGGGUUGGCAGCUGAAAAGAAAUAAGCAUAGCAGUAUCAAAAUGAAUGCCUGAAUCCAUUUGAACAUUCAACGAAUUAAUGAAAAUAAACAUUACAUGCAUGGCAAAUUCGAACUGAAUUGGAUUCUCAACCACAAAGGCAUUACAUAUAACUACUUGAAGAAAGGUGCAAAGGCUAAAACAGGAGAUGGAUACGAGACAUGAGAGCUAGAUCAAAGAAGAGAAACGGAAACUUAUUUGGAUGCCUACUUGGUACUAUAAGCUGGAAUAAUGAAAGAAAGGGAAAAAAAAACAAGUAUUUCUGGCUGUUUUUGGCUUGCUGAGGUAGCGGAAGCAUCUAAUAAAAUCUGCAGCCCAGUAUGAAUCUCCUCUAAGGCUUUAGCUGGAAUGAUAAAUGAGGGGUGGGGUGUACUUCACAUCAAUAUGAUGCACUUUAAAACAAAUCUUAAAGAGCGAAAACAUCCAUCCAAUUUGUCAAAUUCACUUCUUUAGGGAAGGGCCAAUUGCAAUUUCUAUUACCAAUAUUUCUGGGGAAAAAGGAAGGACAAUUCAUUGAGUUUAAAGAUCAUAAGGGAGAUACAUAUCAUACGAUUUGACAAAAUAUUCUCAUGCAACCCAUAAAACAUUAAAUAAAGCAGGGAGAGCAUGCACCUCUUAUGAAUGACUGAUCGCAUAGCUGCCUCAACGAAUAAUGGUCUCCAGUUCCAGUAUCAUAAUUAUCCUCAAAAACAAGAUGUCGAAACCCUACUUUCAGUGCCUGCUUCAGUCUUCCAUGAAAGCAUGAAUUAAGAGAAAUCAGCAUUGAGAAAAGUGAGGCAUGUCAAAUCUAGAGUAUAUAAGGAAGUGCAAAGGUUUGUCAUUAUCAAAUAAGUUGGACGGUGAGUACCUUUUCAAUUCAUUCUGAUGGUCAUAAAAAAAUAUUAGGACUCGGCUGAGGUUGGUAAUCCCAUGUCUCUUCAUGACGGGCUCCCAAUCUAUAGAACCAAAUCCACAAAAUCUUUUCCAGCAAAAUAUGUACAGUUUUCAUCAACAUAAGCAGGCCCCUUCUUUAGAUAGUUGGCAGGAUGCCAGGGCGAAAGUGAAAUAAUUGAUUUAUCAGGCAUAGUUUGUCGCAAAACCCAGGUUGAAUGUCCUUAAAAGCACCACUCUCAAUCAUCAGAUCCAGCUUCAGCCAUCAAGCAAUGAACCAAGGCCCAAAGCUUUGGUCAAAACCCAUACCAUAAAUGUUGUUUUUUACAGGACGAGUUUCAUAUAUUGGCACAAACUCUUCCAAAACCUCGAUUAAAUCCUUGGUUGUCCAUUCAACCCUUUUUCCAUUUUUCGAUCUGCCUUUUAAAAAGGAUAAGAAUUAAAUUACAUCUAAGAUAAGCUACUAAAAGUGGCCGAUUCAAAAUCAAGCAAGACAACUGAGAUUCACCAUUUCAAAUUGAGUAACAAUCAAAAAGGAAGUACAAAGUAACCUAAAAUAUGCAUAUUCGUCUGAAAACCAAAUAUGACAGUAAAUCAAAGAAUGUGAAAGAACCUUGAAAAGAACAUAUACCGAGUCAUAACAGGAUUUAGUUUAGAAAACGAUAAACCCCGGUAAAUGAACAGAAGGCUACUCCAAAAUUAUGAUUUUAGGCUAUGCAAAAACAAACAAGCCCACCCAAUAACUAAUCUAUUUUCUAGAUUAAAUUUAAAAGGCCACAGCUGAAUUUACAAUGAAAUUCAUGAUUACUUUAAGAUCUCCUCUCUCUAGCAACACUCUCAUCCACUUACACAUUAUUGAUAUAAACAAUAAGACUCUCAAAGUUGAACAUUUCAAUUAAUAAAAAAGAAGCCUAUUCAGAAUCCCAUUUAAGUGCCAAUGCACUUGAUCUUCAAACUUUCAUCUUGAAAAGUCACAUUGCAGAUAUUACCAUUCGCAAAAGUUUUAAUAAUCACAAAAAUUUUAUAAAUUUGCACUAACUAGCUUUCAACAAGAUCCCAUAAAAAAAAAAAAAAUUGCAACUUUAGAAACUAUUAUCAUACACCAAAUACAUAUAAUUUCAUAAAUAUAUUCACAAUAAAUUAAAUUAAAAUGCAGAUCUGAUUUUAAAAAAGCGUUUUUAAUCAAAGACUUUCACCAGGGAACAUCGAGAUAUCCAGAAUCCGACUCCAAGGCGUCGGGUCGGUAAAGGCGGGGCCCGAAUCGAGAGAGCCGAUCGUAGGGGGAAAUACAAACGAGAUUAUGAGAAUAAUGAAAUGUCAACGAAACGGCGCCGAACAAGACCAAAACACAGAUGAUAAGACAGGGUGACGCGUGGCUGAAGCGGGAGAAGUACUUAAGAGGCUAAGAGGGAAAUGUGUUGUCGCUUCGACGUGGACUCGUCGUCGUCCGAAGAUGGACCUGGCGUCUGAGAGGCGCAGACCGCAUCGGCUUCGGCGGCAUGGCGACGUGAGGAGGCGGAACGAUCGAGCAUCGUGGCGGCAGGAGCAGAGGAGCGUGGAGGGUGAGGAGCAACGAAGUAGUGUUCAUUGUGAGCGUUGGAAUAAGCGCGCGUGAAGUUUUCAAAGUUACUGUUUUUUCUUUAAAAAAAAUUGGUGACAUUUUAUUUCAUUUAUUAUUUUUUUUGUAAUUGAUUAAUUGUGACUCUUAGUUGUAGGUGAUUAUAAAUAUAAUAAUAAAUGGGGUAUUUGAUGUUUUAAACCAUCAAAAUACUUAUUAAGCCACUUUAUUAAAUUGACGACAACCUAAAUUACUUUGUAGUAAGGCAAUCUAAUAAUCAAUUAAUAAAGAAAAAUUACAUUGUUUACGCCCAUCUUCAAGCCAUAUAUUUUGUAUGUAGAGUUCUUGUGUUUCUUUGAAUUUUUACCCAUUUAUUGAAUUUCUUUUCUUCACCUACACUUCUGUUAGUUAAUGGAAUGAAAUUUUUGAGGAAUUUGUUAAAUAUUUGAACUUGGCUAAAAGUUUGUCAUUGAUAAAACUCCCUCUUGAUUUCAACUAGUAAAUUUAUGCAAAACUUCUUUACAAUAUUGAGCAACGUAUUCUCUCUUCAUAGAAGCUUUCCUAAAAAGUCCAUGGAAGAACCGUAUCCAUUAAAAAAUAUAAUUUUAUCAUCUGUUUGUUUCUUAAGUUUUAAAGGUAUUGUUUCACACAUGAAAUAUUAGGGGGAAAAAACUACUUUGGAAAGAAAAUUAAAGGAUAGAUAGAAGCGACAAUUCGGUUCAAGAUGUAUUAUUCGAUUCUAUUCUAAUCAAAUUAAACAUGUUUAAAUUAGAAAAAAAUUAAUUUGUUUAAUAAUUGGCUAAAGUUGAUUUGAUUUGUAAAAUAAAUUAAUUGAAUCUAAGUUUGAGGUCGCUUAUUCAUUUAUCAUUUGAGAUUCAUUUAAUAAAUAGUUAAAAAAACGAAUCGAGUAUGAAUUUAUUCAUUUGAUGUUCGUUUAUUAUCCAUUUGAUUAAAUUAUUUAUUUACCAUUAAUUUUUUUUGCAUAAAUUUAAAAAUUAAGAUGAUAGUUUCGUAAUUAUAAGUUAUAAUAAUAAGACAAAAUAAAUUUUGUUAAUAAAUGUAUUACACAAAUUGUAAAUGAAUUCAAAUUCGAUUCAAUUCAUUGAAUAAUUCGUAUCGAUUCAUUAAAUUUUAUAGAGUAAAUCAAUUAAACAAAUGUUCAUUUAAUAAAUGGAAUUCAAACCCAUUGAACUUGGACUUUAUUCGUUUACUAUAUGAUUUGUUUAUUUGUUUUGCAACCCCUAGAUUUGAGUAUAAAGUUGUAAUGGAUAAAGCGCCAAAAGGAGAGAUGGAGGAAAGGAUGAAAAAUUAGUUAAAUUAAAAAAAAAAAGAGUAAAUUACAAUAAUUUAGUUUAAUUAGAGUAGUUUAGGUAUUAAUGUGGGUUUAUAAAUUAUAAUUUUAAUAUUUUUUUUUGAGAAUAUAAUUUUAAUAAUUUAUUUAUUGAAUAAAUGGGUUCAAAUAAUCUUACCCUAUAGUAAUAUAUACAUUUCAUUUUUAACCAAGAAACCAAACUAAAUGAUAGAAAGAAUAAUGAACUACGAAAUUCACCGUAGUAAAAUUGUCAGUUUUAUUUAUUUUUUCAGCUUGAUGUUCAUUUGAUUACUUAGAUUACUGUGAGAUCUCUCAUCAUAAAGUUAUAUAUAUAUAUAUAUAUAUAUAUACAUAUAGACGCGCGCGCGGGGGAUAUACUGAAUUUGCUGCAGCAGAGGCUGCAUUGGAAGGGGUUAAACCAUAGCCUUGGAGGUCUCCUCUUGUUGAACAAUCGCUAUUGUUUCAACUGCGGCUGAAACUGCCAUUCGCCAUCUAGUAUGGAAAAUUUCAGAUUGUGAAAAUCACACCAAAACCACAAAUUGACAGCAUUUUUCAUUCUUAAUUAUUUAAUCAAGCUAAACAACUUAUAAAAACAUCAUUUUCCUUCUUUUUUUUCCCCCCUUUUUUCCUGAUAGGUGGAGAGGUUUAACUAAUUUUAAUUGGCAUUUAAUUGUGGGUUAUCUGUCUGAGUUGUGGCAUCUUUUUGGAGAAAACCUUGGCUGGCAUCAGAUUUGCCCUAUUGCCACGUGCAACUGGAAAAAGACAACUAAGGUCCAUCGCACGGCAAAGAUAAAUAAUCUUUUUACAUACUUGAUUCCGUUUUUUAUUCAUUUUAUAACCUCUGUAUUCUCUUUGAAGUGUGAAGCAUGCGGAAGACGGGGUGCUGUGAAGUUCUCUGGAUGGACCCACACUGAUAUUGUGAACAGUCAGCCGGAAAAUGGAGUUGAGCAUGGCGAUGAAGACCUUCUUGGGGGAAGAAACCAAGUAACUUUUGUUCAUCCAAUGGUCGCUGAAUCGGUAAGAUUUUGUUACUAAAACGUAAGUAGUAUUUGUGUUGGUGGUAAAAAUUAGUUAACCAUUUUUUUUUGUGUUGUAGAAAAACCAUGGACAAAGUCAGCCAUUUGCCAUGACGGAAACGGCAGUACCAGAAGAGGAGUUGGGAAGGGUUACUUUCAAGGAUCUACCCGCCAAAGAGUUUGUGAUAGAAGGUGCUAACGUGGAAUAUGAAUUAGAUCGUUGAGUUGAGCUCUUCGGAUGUCCUGUUAACUCUAUUUUCAAUAUCAUAUUAUCAGAUAAUUGCAAUCAUUAGUAUGCAUGGUUUCAUUUUUUUUGUCGAGUUGAGCUCUUCGAAUGUUCUGUUAACUCGCUUUUCAAUAUUAUAUUAGCAGAUAAUUACAAUGAUUAGUAUGGUUUUUGUUUUUAAGUGUUACAUUUUAUAUGCACGUUCACGGUACAUAUUACAAUUAUUAUUAUUUUUUUAAAAAAAAUCCCUUACGUAUGUUAUAACUAGUCUAUGUUCUGCUCUAUAUCAAAAUUUGGAUAUUAUUAUUAUCAUUUUAAUCUCACUUAUGUAAUAACUUCAAAUUUUCUAAAACCCAAUUUGUACCUAAAACUUCUAAUUUGGAGUUAUUAUAAUUAAUAUUAUUUUUUUAAAAAUAGCUGCUAGAUUAUACUCAGGGCCGGCUCAACUAUAUUAUUUGGGGCCUUAGGCAGAUGAUUUUAAUUGGUUCUUGUUAAAAUUUAGGAAAAAAAAAAUAUAGUAGUUAUAUAUUAUUUAUUGAAAAUCAAUUCUUUAAACACUCUAAAAUGUAAAAUUAUUAAAUAAAAUUCUAUUCUACUAUUGCUGAUCCAUGAAAUUUUAAUUCAAUUAUAACAUUUUCACUUAUUUUUUUAAACUCAAAUUACAUUUUUUUUACUACUCAUUUUCUAAAUUAAACUAAUUUUUCUAUUCUUCUAUUUUUUUUAAUUUUUUCAAUAUAGUUUUUUUUUUUCAAAAUAGAUAAAAUAAGCACACAAAAAAAAGUAGAUGAAUAAAAAAAUAUAUUAAAAAGAAACAAGAACAAAUAAAUAAUACAACUAAUUAAUGUCAUAAUAAAAAGAUAAAAUCUGGAAUUUGAGAUGAAAUUAUAAAUUAACUUUAUCUUUAUAUUAAUUGUUUGAAGAUUUGAGUAAUAACCAAUAGCCAUAGAGAAUAGAGAAAACUAUUAGAUUUUUUUUUUUCCUUCUUGAGUGGAAAGUAGAGGAAGCAUUAUUUUUUUCCCUCUCUCUUUCUUUCUCUCAAACACCAAGAACAUAUCGUGUCUUGAUUGUUGGAGGAAAAAUUUAAUGGAUAAGUAAUAAAGUGUGGGGCUUUUAUAAAAGUUUAAAAUGAAUAUAAAACUUUUUAAUUAUAACAUAUUAAUUCUAAAAAUGAAAUAGAAAAUUUAUAGGAUUGAAACUAUUUAUUUAUCGAUUUUGUAGGAAUUAAAACUACUAAGUACUACAUUAAAUAAACUUUAUAGGAAUUUGAUAGUUUACUUAGGAAAAGAUAAUUACAAAAUAAUAAUAAAUUAAAUGAAUAAUAAUAAUUUUAAAAUUCAUUUUCUCUUUUUAUAUACAAAAUAAUUAUCUCAUGAGGACUUUCAUGUAAAGUAGGGCCCUAAGCGACUGCCUAAGUUGCCUAGAGGUGAUUAUACUAAGCCAUAAACAUAAAGCAUUUGCAAGGUAAAAUAAGUUACAAUCAUGGCACAAGUACACCAAAAUUUGUAAGAGCAUGCAGCCGGCCUCACGGCUAACGCACAAACACCGCAAGAACAUGGAAAUAUGAACAAGGAAAUUGACAGCAUAUAAGAGGAAAACGCAAUCAGCAAGAAAAGGUGAAGUAGUAUACGUUAAAAUAACAGCUCAAAGGAUGUGAUUCAGUUAAUUUAAUAAAAACAACAGUUCAUGAUAAUCUCUAAUCUGACCAGCUAUGGAAAUAUAUACGGAUGUACUACCACAUCUCAAUUUCUUGUCCUAAGGAAAGCUAGAACAGGCGCCAUUCUCAUAAAUUUAGGAGACUUGUUCAGAAAUUUGCAGAUAAACCAUCUGCGUAUACCCAUUAAAUACAGAGGUCUCAAGCCUAGCCAAACGCAGCCGUUGGAACAAGCCAUAGCGGCCAUCUUCAAGAAUUGGACUGCAUACACGAGCAGGAUCAUAACGAGUUUGAUGAGUGAGGGAAGGGCCAGACACCGGAGGGAGCUCCCUAUAAACAUCCAAAAUUGAUUCAACAAAUUGGCUGUUCCGAAAAUGCUCGGCAUAGGAGAUUGGCUUAUUACUGUGGUUAAAGUUUCCUCGCAUCUCCUCUUUGACACCCCACCCAGUUUCACCCACCCCACAUCGUUCUUCUAUAUCCACUGCCUUCUCCCAGAAUUUCUUCCUUUUCGCUCUAAUCCGUGCUUCGUCACUAUCUCUCAAGCAACUAUGGCCACCACUUGGAUAAAAAUGUAUAAGGCUAAACAAGCUAUCACAUUACUUGUGAUCUUCAUUUUUAUGAAAAGGAUACGAAAAUAAAUGGUAUUUAUUAAUUUCAGUAAGAAGGAAAAUGGAUGAUCUCCUUGUGUAAUAUAAAUUAAAUAAGGUGUUAGAUUAAUAACUCUGCAUGUGAUCAAUUGACCCUUAUAUUAUGGUUUUUUUUAUUUUAUUUUAUACAGGUACAAAUAUUUUUCACAUUAUAACCGUUUACAAGAUUAAUGACGUACAUUGAGCAAAGAGAUUUUAGAAGGACCAUAAAAAAAUGAUAAUUUGGACCCAACAAUAAAUUUUUAUUUAUUUUUAAAUAUAAAAGGAAUGAGUAAAGUUAAAAUUAAUUUUUUAACACCUUUCCCUCACAAGAUUCAAAAGCAAGAGAUCAACCAGAUCCCUAGGAAUGAUCCAAUCACCCCGGCGAUCUUGAUUGUGCCAACCUUUCAACAAUCUUGCAGCCUUUUUGCCAGAUUAGCAACAGAAUCAACAAUACAUAUGCUGUCUGUUAUUGCAACAAUGGAACAAAUCUUUCACUCUCUCUCCCAAGAAAGUACAUGAUAAAUAAAAGACAGCUUCCAAUUAUAAGCUCUUGGAAUUACUAAUUAGCAAAAAUAAUUCAUAAAAUCUGUGUGAAGAUAUUGAUUCUACAGGCAUAUUUGAAGUAUUUUUCGUAACUCGUAAGUAAAAUAUAGACGGUUCCUUUUGACAUAAAUCAGCUGUAACUCUUUCUAGCCUAUAUAAUUUAUACAAGACUAUUACAAGCUUCUCACUUGGGAUCUUUCGACCGAAAGGAAAAGAAUGAAAAAUAAAUGUUUCUUCUAGUUCAUUCUUGCAUUCCUCACUUAUAAUUAAUGUACAACUAGGUUGAAUUAUUGUUGUGCAGCCAGUUGGUUCUUCAACUCUUUCUUGUUCACCU